Molecule: long non-coding RNA, 564 nt
Organism: Tupaia belangeri chinensis (Chinese tree shrew)
Lineage: Eukaryota; Metazoa; Chordata; Mammalia; Scandentia; Tupaiidae
Exons: 4
Source: RefSeq, a predicted model, not a curated record
AAUAAUGUGGCACACAAUGGAAUAAUAAUGCCAUAAAAAUCAAUGAUCUCCUGUUAUUUGACUCAAAAUGGAAAAAUCUGGAAGAAAAAAUGGUAAAUGAAUAAGCCAGUCUAUUAAAGGACAUAUCUCACAAGUGUUAAAAGAACAAAAUCACAGUAUGCCCUCUGUCUUGCUCAAAGCUGCCCACUUCUGGAAGUUGCUUGAGGGAAAGUCACCUGACCACUGCCUAACAAAUAUCCAAAUGGAGCUAAGCAGGACCUCUGUAGGGUGAACAACUGGCAGGAGUGAAUCACAACCCCAGUCUUGCUGAUUUAAGACAUUUAUUUCGAUGCACCUCAGAAUUUAUGAACUGACCUGCUGAUCUAAGGACUAACUGGCUUCCUCAUUCUAAACAGAAAAAUUCUUGCUUUCUUAAACAUUACCAACGGUAUAUCCACUGGAAAGGCACAUUGAUGCUGUCAGAGCAAGCAUGCAGGAGUCUAACAGCUAAUGGCCUUGUAUUUGGGGAACUCUCACAGAGGCAGCCGAAAGUGCCUAAAGUCGGGAUUGGGGUCCCUGAAUGAA